ACGGAAGGCAUCAGUGGGGAAUAUUGCACAAUGGGGGCAACCCUGAUGCAGCGAUGCCGCGUGAAGGAAGAAGUUCUUCGGAAUGUAAACUUCUAUCAGCAAGGAAGAAAACGGACAGUACUUGACUAAGAGGCCCCGGCUAACUACGUGCCAGCAGCCGCGGUAAUACGUAGGGGGCAAGCGUUAUCCGGAAUUACUGGGUGUAAAGGGUGCGUAGGCGGUAAAGCAAGUUAGAUGUGAAACCUCAGGGCUUAACCCUGAGCAUGCAUCUAAAACUACUGGACUAGAGUAUAGGAGAGGAAAGCGGAAUUCCUGGUGUAGCGGUGAAAUGCGUAGAUAUUAGGAGGAACAUCAGUGGCGAAGGCGGCUUACUGGGCUUUAACUGACGCUGAGGCUCGAAAGCGUGGGGAGCAAACAGGAUUAGAUACCCUGGUA
RNAcentral lists this ribosomal RNA (435 nucleotides) under uncultured Lachnospiraceae bacterium. RNAcentral describes it as "bacterial SSU rRNA". It matches the Rfam family "Bacterial small subunit ribosomal RNA", at positions 341 to 792 of the family's 1533-position model. The record is from RNAcentral. Lineage: Bacteria; Bacillati; Bacillota; Clostridia; Lachnospirales; Lachnospiraceae.